UCUCACCUCUUUAUAUGAGAUUUUUAUAGAAUUGAAUCAAAAUUUUACAUGGAAUCUCUACAAAUCAAUUAGACUCCAUAAAAAUCCAUGGAUUUAUAAAUUCAUUGAAAUCUCUCAAAUUCCCAAUUGAAUACAUCUCGGUUAAUUGUUUGUUAUUUUUUAAAAAUAGUUCAAAUUCUCUUUUGGCGAUAAUCAAACCUAAGACUUUCAUUUACAAAUAAAGAAAAAUAACAUUAAAUCGUAGUACUAAGUGGGUAGUUUAAAAAAGGUAAAAAAAUUAAAUAUUAAAUACCUCCGUAUUUUAAAGAGAGUUUUAACAAAACAUAUCCGGUAACAAAAAAUCAUAUUUUACCUUUCUCUGGUACUAUUUACUACACCUUUACUUGUUAUUUUUCAUUAAAACUAAAUUUUUUUUUAGUUUUUCUUAUUUUAAAAUGAAACGAAUGUCUAGUUUUAAAAAGGUAAAAAAUUUGCAGAGGAUUCUUAUUUCCUCUUUAAAAGACACCUCCUUUUUUUUUGGUCCAACUGAUAUGCCUCUGUAAAUAGAAAAAGGUUUGCACUUUGUGCGCAUUUUAGAAGAAAAUCACAAAAUAAAGGAAAGAAUAAUUGAUUUUUUACCAGCCAAAGAAAUGGGAACUGAUUUUCCACAAAAGGGAAUUGUGAAUGUUUAUAAAGGAACCGGAUCCCCUCCGGAUCCAAAAGAACCGAGUUCAAGGAUCAAAUGA
Molecule: long non-coding RNA, 725 nt
Filed under: Malus domestica (apple)
Lineage: Eukaryota; Viridiplantae; Streptophyta; Magnoliopsida; Rosales; Rosaceae
Description: long non-coding RNA (MDOM_LNC014281)
Source: RNAcentral